This 204-nucleotide long non-coding RNA is filed under the name Hordeum vulgare. RNAcentral describes it as "long non-coding RNA (HVUL_LNC016372)". Lineage: Eukaryota; Viridiplantae; Streptophyta; Magnoliopsida; Poales; Poaceae. The record is from RNAcentral.
AACUGUUGGAUUUCCCUAUCUGUACCUACCACCUGAUCUACUAGCAGAAAAUUGCCUCUUGGACCCUAGCUUCUGACAUGUUCUUUCUCCUUGCAUCUCCUACUCCAGACCUGUACACCUCCUUUUAGAGUGCAAAAAUAUAGAAAAAGGGAUGGAUGCUGACUCUUGAAUUGCAUAUUGUCCUACUGUCUAGUAGCUUGUUUC